RNAcentral lists this unclassified non-coding RNA (725 nucleotides) under Hevea brasiliensis (rubber tree). The record is from RNAcentral. Lineage: Eukaryota; Viridiplantae; Streptophyta; Magnoliopsida; Malpighiales; Euphorbiaceae.
GCGGGGGUGUUGGUGGUGCGGGCGUUGGGGUGUGGUGUGUGGGGUUGGUGGUUGUUGUUGUUGAACAUAGAGUCUGCAGUUGACACAAAAAAUACAAACAACCACACAAAGAAAAGAGAUCAUGUAUAGCUACAUAGUAAAAAUCCAAUUCAGCAAUGGCUGACAGUUUUGACAUCCUACGAAGACACAAGCCUAUCAUUAUUCCCUUUUAGUUUAAAACAAGUUCAAUCAUUCUUGCAUCGCAACAGCUCAAUAUAAUCGUCCAAUCUUUCCAAACAGAUGAAAGGCACUCAAUCUGCCAAAAAGAUUUUUUUUGAAAAAAAAGUCCCCAUUGAAUUGCUGAUUUGAUUUAUAUUCUUGUCUAAUCAGCAUUAUCAAUUCAACAUCAUCCUAAAGUGUAAGGACAAGAAUUUUUCCAAUCGUCAAUUCAGAUUCAGGGAAAUAAUUCUCAGAAACCUUGUAAUUCAAUUUUGUUUUUCUUUAAGUGAAAAAUCACAAGCAAUACAUUCAACCAAGCCAUUUGAAGACAUGUUCCAUAUCUAACAAACAUAUAGCCAUCGAAAUGAACUAGGGAGAAAAAAAAAAUCAACAAAAAAAAUAAAUGAAACUAAAACCCAAAUCAGAUCUAAACCCAAAGAUCUCAUAAACUCAAAGGUUUCCGAUCUCAAGAAAGACAAAAGAUAAUUAGUAUUAGAAACAUAAAAAAAAUAAAAAUAAAGAAAAAA